Molecule: ribosomal RNA, 492 nt
Filed under: uncultured bacterium
Lineage: Bacteria
Description: partial 16S ribosomal RNA
Rfam family: Bacterial small subunit ribosomal RNA
Source: RNAcentral
GACGAACGCUGGCGGCGGGCUUAACACAUGCAAGUCGAGCGGUGACGCCCCGUCCUCUUUGUUGGCUGUGCAUGGACGGGGAACGGGGUGGUAACACGUGAGUCACCUGCCCCCUUACUCAGGAUUACCGCAUGGAAAUGUGGCUAAUAAGGGCUUUGCUGGGUCUGUCGCCUUCUGAGUCUGGGUAAGAUAUUCUUUCGGUGGGGGAGGGGGUCGCGUCUGAUUAGCUUGUUGGCGGGGUAAUGGCCCACCAAGGCUACGAUCGGUAGGGGUUCUGAGAGGAAGGUCCCCGACAUUGGAACUGAGACACGGUCCAAACUCCUACGGGAGGCAGCAGUGAGGAAUAUGGGUCAAUGGGCGGGAGCCUGAACCAGCCAAGUAGCGUGCAGGAUGACGGCCCUAUGGGUUGUAAACUGCUUUUAUGCGGGGAUAAAGUGAGGGACGUGUCCUUCAUUGCAGGUACCGCAUGAAUAAGGACCGGCUAAUUCCGUG